RNAcentral lists this ribosomal RNA (369 nucleotides) under Triticum aestivum (bread wheat). RNAcentral describes it as "partial small subunit ribosomal RNA". Lineage: Eukaryota; Viridiplantae; Streptophyta; Magnoliopsida; Poales; Poaceae. The record is from RNAcentral.
GUGGCUAAAGUGGUGUGGCGUUGUGUUGGGAUGGCUUUAGGGACGAACCUCUGUCCAAACAAUUACUGGCAAUAUUUCUCCUGGUGCCACACUUUCCUUCCCUAUGGGAAGAAAUACUAUAUUGUUGGCCUGGCGGUCAUUUGCUGGGCUAUCUAGUUGGCUAGAAAUCGAGCCACCUUUGAGAAGAAAUAGAUUAAGACACCGUUUGAGAUUGUGUUUUCUGUGUGCUCCUUUUUGCUAUAUUGGGCAGGUCUUCAGCAAGGUGAUGGAGUCAAGGAGCUGCGCAGUGGGGUGGCGAUGGUCAGGUCAAGCACUAUGAGCAUGAUGAAGAUGUGCGAGGCGGCAAGGAGACCGAUCGAGGGAGAAUGA